UGGGGCGUAGCCAAGCUGGUAAGGCACGGGACUUUGACUCCCGCAUGCGUAGGUUCGAAUCCUGCCGCCCCAGCCAGCG
This 79-nucleotide transfer RNA is filed under the name Symbiobacterium thermophilum IAM 14863. Its description in RNAcentral is "tRNA-Gln". It matches the Rfam family "tRNA". Rfam says of the family: Transfer RNA (tRNA) molecules are approximately 80 nucleotides in length. Their secondary structure includes four short double-helical elements and three loops (D, anti-codon, and T loops). Further hydrogen bonds mediate the characteristic L-shaped molecular structure. tRNAs have two regions of fundamental functional importance: the anti-codon, which is responsible for specific mRNA codon recognition, and the 3' end, to which the tRNAs corresponding amino acid is attached (by aminoacyl-tRNA synthetases). tRNAs cope with the degeneracy of the genetic code in two manners: having more than one tRNA (with a specific anti-codon) for a particular amino acid; and 'wobble' base-pairing, i.e. permitting non-standard base-pairing at the 3rd anti-codon position. Lineage: Bacteria; Bacillati; Bacillota; Clostridia; Eubacteriales; Symbiobacteriaceae. The record is from RNAcentral.